ACUCCUACGGGAGGCAGCAGUGGGGAAUAUUGCACAAUGGGCGUAAGCCUGAUGCAGCAACGCCGCGUGAGGGACGACGGCCUUCGGGUUGUAAACCUCUUUUAGUAGGGAAGAAGCGAAAGUGACGGUACCUGCAGAAAAAGCACCGGCUAACUACGUGCCAGCAGCCGCGGUAAUACGUAGGGUGCAAGCGUUAUCCGGAAUUAUUGGGCGUAAAGAGCUCGUAGGCGGUUUGUCGCGUCUGCUGUGAAAACUGGAGGCUCAACCUCCAGCCUGCAGUGGGUACGGGCAGACUAGAGUGCGGUAGGGGAGAUUGGAAUUCCUGGUGUAGCGGUGGAAUGCGCAGAUAUCAGGAGGAACACCGAUGGCGAAGGCAGAUCUCUGGGCCGUAACUGACGCUGAGGAGCGAAAGCAUGGGGAGCGAACAGGAUUAGAUACCCUGGUAGUCCAUGCCGUAAACGUUGGGAACUAGAUGUAGGGACCAUUCCACGGUUUCUGUGUCGCAGCUAACGCAUUAAGUUCCCCGCCUGGGGAGUACGGCCGCAAGGCUAAAACUCAAAGGAAUUGACGGGGGCCCGCACAAGCGGCGGAGCAUGCGGAUUAAUUCGAUGCAACGCGAAGAACCUUACCAAGGCUUGACAUAUACCGGAAAAGUUCAGAAAUGUUCUCCCCGCAAGGUCGGUAUACAGGUGGUGCAUGGUUGUCGUCAGCUCGUGUCGUGAGAUGUUGGGUUAAGUCCCGCAACGAGCGCAACCCUCGUUCUAUGUUGCCAGCACGUAAUGGUGGGAACUCAUAGGAGACUGCCGGGGUCAACUCGGA
Molecule: ribosomal RNA, 819 nt
Filed under: uncultured Actinomycetes bacterium
Lineage: Bacteria; Bacillati; Actinomycetota; Actinomycetes
Description: bacterial SSU rRNA
Rfam family: Bacterial small subunit ribosomal RNA
Source: RNAcentral